Molecule: non-coding RNA, 128 nt
Organism: Paramuricea clavata
Lineage: Eukaryota; Metazoa; Cnidaria; Anthozoa; Malacalcyonacea; Plexauridae
Source: the annotation of a GenBank genome assembly
GUCAGGAUGGCCGAGCGGUCAAAGGCGCCAGACUCAAGUUUCCAAACUUGCUCUGCUAAUGCGCCGCCAAAGGGCGUUCUGGUCCACUGAUGUGGGCGUGGGUUCGGGUUCAAAUCCCACUCCUAACA